This 253-nucleotide ribosomal RNA is filed under the name uncultured bacterium. RNAcentral describes it as "partial 16S ribosomal RNA". It matches the Rfam family "Bacterial small subunit ribosomal RNA", at positions 524 to 776 of the family's 1533-position model. The record is from RNAcentral.
UACGAGGGGGGCGAGCGUUGUUCGGAAUUAUUGGGCGUAAAGGGUGCGUAGGCGGUUUGGUAAGUCUCUUGUGAAAUCUAUGGGCUCAACUCAUAGUCUGCAAGGGAAACUGCCGGGCUUGAGUGUGGGAGAGGUGAGUGGAAUUUCCGGUGUAGCGGUGAAAUGCGCAGAUAUCGGGAAGAACACCCGUGGCGAAGGCGGCUCUCUGGGACGGUACUGACGCUGAGACGCGAAAGCGUGGGGAGCGAACAGG